RNAcentral lists this ribosomal RNA (1489 nucleotides) under uncultured bacterium. RNAcentral's name for it is "bacterial SSU rRNA". It matches the Rfam family "Bacterial small subunit ribosomal RNA". The record is from RNAcentral.
UGGUUCGAUUAUGGCUCAGGAUGAACGCUAGCUACAGGCUUAACACAUGCAAGUCGAGGGGCAGCAUUUUAGUUUGCUUGCAAACUAAAGAUGGCGACCGGCGCACGGGUGAGUAACACGUAUCCAACCUGCCGAUAACUCGGGGAUAGCCUUUCGAAAGAAAGAUUAAUAUCCGAUAGUAUAUUAAAACCGCAUGGUUUUACUAUUAAAGAAUUUCGGUUAUCGAUGGGGAUGCGUUCCAUUAGUUUGUUGGCGGGGUAACGGCCCACCAAGACUACGAUGGAUAGGGGUUCUGAGAGGAAGGUCCCCCACAUUGGAACUGAGACACGGUCCAAACUCCUACGGGAGGCAGCAGUGAGGAAUAUUGGUCAAUGGACGAGAGUCUGAACCAGCCAAGUAGCGUGAAGGAUGACUGCCCUAUGGGUUGUAAACUUCUUUUAUAUGGGAAUAAAGUAUUCCACGUGUGGGAUUUUGUAUGUACCAUAUGAAUAAGGAUCGGCUAACUCCGUGCCAGCAGCCGCGGUAAUACGGAGGAUCCGAGCGUUAUCCGGAUUUAUUGGGUUUAAAGGGAGCGUAGGUGGAUUGUUAAGUCAGUUGUGAAAGUUUGCGGCUCAACCGUAAAAUUGCAGUUGAAACUGGCAGUCUUGAGUACAGUAGAGGUGGGCGGAAUUCGUGGUGUAGCGGUGAAAUGCUUAGAUAUCACGAAGAACUCCGAUUGCGAAGGCAGCUCACUAGACUGCAACUGACACUGAUGCUCGAAAGUGUGGGUAUCAAACAGGAUUAGAUACCCUGGUAGUCCACACAGUAAACGAUGAAUACUCGCUGUUUGCGAUAUACAGUAAGCGGCCAAGCGAAAGCAUUAAGUAUUCCACCUGGGGAGUACGCCGGCAACGGUGAAACUCAAAGGAAUUGACGGGGGCCCGCACAAGCGGAGGAACAUGUGGUUUAAUUCGAUGAUACGCGAGGAACCUUACCCGGGCUUAAAUUGCAUUUGAAUAAUCUGGAAACAGGUUAGCCGCAAGGCAAAUGUGAAGGUGCUGCAUGGUUGUCGUCAGCUCGUGCCGUGAGGUGUCGGCUUAAGUGCCAUAACGAGCGCAACCCUUAUCUUUAGUUACUAACAGGUCAUGCUGAGGACUCUAGAGAGACUGCCGUCGUAAGAUGUGAGGAAGGUGGGGAUGACGUCAAAUCAGCACGGCCCUUACGUCCGGGGCUACACACGUGUUACAAUGGGGGGUACAGAAGGCAGCUACCUGGCGACAGGAUGCUAAUCCCAAAAACCUCUCUCAGUUCGGAUCGAAGUCUGCAACCCGACUUCGUGAAGCUGGAUUCGCUAGUAAUCGCGCAUCAGCCAUGGCGCGGUGAAUACGUUCCCGGGCCUUGUACACACCGCCCGUCAAGCCAUGAAAGCCGGGGGUACCUGAAGUACGUAACCGCAAGGAGCGUCCUAGGGUAAAACUGGUAAUUGGGGCUAAGUCGUAACAAGGUAUCC